UGGUGCCAGCAGCCGCGGUAAUUCCAGCUCCAAUAGCGUAUAUUAAAGUUGUUGCAGUUAAAAAGCUCGUAGUUGAAUUUCGGGGUUAGUAAGUUGGUCAUGCCUCCGGUAUGUACUGGCUUUACUGAUUCCUCCUUCUUGAUGAACUGUAAUGUCAUUAAUUUGGUGUUGCAGGGAAUCAGGACUGUUACUUUGAAAAAAUUAGAGUGUUUAAAGCAGGCAUACACUUGAAUACAUUAGCAUGGAAUAAUGAAAUAGGACGUUUGAUCCUAUUUUGUUGGUUUCUAGGAUUGACGUAAUGAUUAAUAGGGAUAGUUGGGGGCAUUAGUAUUCAAUUGUCAGAGGUGAAAUUCUUGGAUUUAUUGAAGACUAACUACUGCGGAAGCAUUUGCCAAGGAUGUUUUCAUUAAUCAAGAACGAAAGUUAGGGGAUCGAAGACGAUCAGAUACCGUCGUAGUCUUAACCAUAAACUAUGCCGACUAGGGA
Molecule: ribosomal RNA, 486 nt
Filed under: uncultured Glomus
Lineage: Eukaryota; Fungi; Glomeromycota; Glomeromycetes; Glomerales; Glomeraceae
Description: SSU rRNA
Rfam family: Eukaryotic small subunit ribosomal RNA
Source: RNAcentral